AAAGCUGCUGAUUUCGUUCACGGAAAAAACAAAAAGCACGCUUCCAGUAGAGCGACCCGGAGUAGGUCGCGAGUGGCCUGGUGCAGAGCAGCCUGUGCAAGCCCAGGGCUGGGCCUGUCUUACCAGAAGACAUGCAAAUCCUCCUAGAGGCUGGCCUCCACAGUCCCCCAGCAAAGGAAUUUUGAUCUUGCAGAAAAGAUUUGCAUUUGGAUGAAGGAUUUCUAUCACACUCUGAGGCUGCACCUGGAUGCAAAUUCAGGAAGAGUGGACUAAGAGAUAACCUCACUUUAUUAAAAAAAAUUCAACGUGGAACAGGACUGCAGGAAGCCUUGAUUUCUACCCAUCAUGAAGAUGUGCCUAGGUGCAUGCACAGCCAUUGGAUGUUGGCGGUCAACUGCAUACUGUCAGUCUAAUCUAGCCGUCAUCUGGCCUUUCCUCUUCAGAUCUGCCUGGGCAGCUCCCCUGGAGUCUGCAGGGUGGAGUCACCAUUUUGGCUUGAGUAAACUGCAUGGAGAUGUGUUUCUUCAUACCCAGGGACUUACUGGAGUAGUCCUCUAGGGGCACGGAGGAGUUGCCCAGUAACCUUCACCCUUGCUUCUCUAGUGCUCACCAUUUGAGAAGACUGUCCUGGGAGUAGUUUGGUUGGAGGUGGGAGGCUGGUUCUUUCAUUGCCCCUCACCCAGUGACAUGCCAGCUCUUAGCAUGCAAACCAAACCAUUUCACCGGGAAGAGAAGAUGCCAAGGGGAAAGAAUCAACACCAAAGGGGUCUUUGUUCGUUGCUCCAACUUCUUAGAGAAAAAAGGAAAUAGAAUUUUCUCCAGAAUUCUGCUUUGUGUUUUAAGAUGUGAACUGGAGAAUCAUUUGGGAACCAUCGCUAGCCCAAAUCAAAGGGGAAUGAAGCUAGACACAUCUUAUAAUGUAUGUCCAAUUACCUGGAUAUUAUUUUACAGGUCUAAAUAGAGAGAACAUGAUUUUAAAAUUAGAGAUGAUAGCUCAAUAUGUUAAUCUUGUAUAAAAAUUAGAUCAGGGUGCUCAUCAGACUAUAUUUUGCUUAAUGUGGUUUUACUAAAUAGGGAUUUUCAAGAGUGGUUCACAACUGCUAAUGCAGUCAUUAUGCUAGUUAGUGCUAUACACUGUAAGACAAGAAAAACUGAGUUGAUUAGACGUUCUAUUUAAUUCCAUUGGUCAUUAAAAAAUGGAGUAUCCUGGGGUCUGGCUGAGCAGCAGAAGCAUAACAGCUGAAGAUGGGGUGAAACGCAAACGUGCUUCCCAGAGCUCUCUUCUUGGGUCUUAUUUUGCAAGUUUGCAAGACGAUUUCAACCAAUCUACUCCCUUGAAAUGCCUUCUACAAAAAUCACUGUUUCUUUGGGCCUUAAAAUUCUGGAAAAGCUUUGAGUUCCCUUAAGGAGUCUGAAGUUUAUACCCAGUUUUAUCAAGGGCAGAAUUACGUGCUGCAGUCCACCUAUUACUAGAGUUUACCUGCU
Molecule: long non-coding RNA, 1485 nt
Organism: Nannospalax galili (Upper Galilee mountains blind mole rat)
Lineage: Eukaryota; Metazoa; Chordata; Mammalia; Rodentia; Spalacidae
Exons: 3
Source: RefSeq, a predicted model, not a curated record